CAAUAUAAUUUCUCUUUUAAACUCAACCCAAUUUAGCCCCUACCCAACCUCAAACCGCUUCGACCCGAUCCAACCCAAUAGCUAAACCCAUUUCCCCACCUAAAAACCCUACCACAAAUAUAGGGAUAGAUACACAAGAGAUAAAUACAACGCCUAUACACACAAAAUGGAGGCUUGAAGAAAACUGCGCAGCUUUUGGUUUUCUUCACCAUCGGAGCUCAUUGAAACACAAACAAAAAGCUCCAUUAAACAUUUCAAACUUUACCCCAUAAAUAACAUUGUCUUCUCCUAAAGAUAUAACUUAAAGCUACUGCAAAAACAGCUCAAAAACCAUUCCUGGAACAACCCCAAAACGCAACCAAAAACAACCCUCAAAUUCGACCAAAAUCAUUCAAAACCAGCCCUAUUUUCCAACCUAAAACCCAGCAAAAUAAGCCACAAAAUAGCCUUGAAACUCCAUGGAAACAGGCGAAACAGAGCUUAAGCUCAGCUGUAAACCAGUCCAAGAACCAACUCCAAUCAGAUCUUAAAUCACCACAAAGAGAGUCGAGGUCGUCUUUCGAGUGUUCAUGUCGCAGAUCUUGUUGGAGCUAUUUAUUGGAGUUGUAAUCUUUGGAAUUCAUAUAUUUUGUUGAUGUCGGAAGCUUCGUGCUUUCAUCUACUGAAGAAUUUUAUUUACUGAAUAUUAAGGUUUAUUCUUACCUUUGCUAUAUGAAUUCCUUAGUCUUCUCUUGUUUAAAUUUUCGUUUGCCAUCUGACCUUUUCCAUGUGUUUAUUUUGGUCUGUUAUUGGAUCUUUAAUGUGAAUAUUUCAAAUACUUUGUUGUGAAUUUAAUUCUUUUAGAACUUGGACAACAAUAGGUUUUGGGUGUAGCUAGAAUCAAAGUCUUGAUUUUUGGAUUGUGUUAAAUAGCUAAUGCACUGUUAAUGGAUUUGUGGCUGGUAAAUAUACUAGCCAUUUCAUUUUGAGGUAGAGAAUCGAUCUGUUGGGUCUAAAAUUAAAGCAAUUUGAAUUUUGUUAAGGAGAACUGGAAUUGUAUCUACUGACAGAAUCUAAAAAUAGGAGUGAGCAUAGGGAAAAAUGGUUUGGCAUGUGAGGUUAGUUUGAAUUUAUAAAGAUCUGAGCCAGGAUAAGUAACACCUAUGAGUCCAACAUAUUCUUCUCCAUUCUUGUGAUGAAUUCUUCCCAAAGGAUCGAAUCAUAUUUCUGUCUACAAUAGUUUUAAUAACUCUUAAAUCUUUACAACAAUAUUAAAGAUUAGGAAAAUAGUGAAUACUUCCCAAAGGAUCGAGUCAUAUUUCUGUCUACAAUAAUUUUAUUAACUCUUAGAUCUUUACAACAAUAUUAAAGAUUAGGAAAAUAAAUAAACACGUAAUUGCAUUAGAUGCGUACUUUAUAUUAAUUUUUAUAAAUUUUGGUGCACAUUUAUGUGACCCAAAUCCAAAUUUCAGCGAAGCUGAAAUGUGUCAAAAACCACGGGUGCAUAUAUGUGACGUGGUUCGAUAUAUGUUUUAACGACGUUGCAAUUCUCUUUAAGAAAAAUAAUAAAGGUGGUUAAAAGAUUCAAAAAUGCACGUAGGUUCAUAACAGAAUUCCUUGCCCGGGUGUACUUACUAGUUGAGACUCCCUAUUAUGUUAGUGUCAUACCAUGAAAUAUGAAAGAGGCCGGACAAUUUACUCGGAUUUCUGAUUCGCGGACUGUUAAACAGAGUCAUUCUUUUCUCGAUUCAGAAUUCUAAGCAGUGACUUGGGACACGAUAAAUCUCCCAAGUGGGGACUCUGAAAUUCUCUUAAAUAAAUGAUUCACGUUUCGAUUGUCCUUUAUUUGGAAAAUCUCUCUUAUCUACGCCUUUCACCGGGUUGUGGUAGCCAAAAGGAGGUGUGACAGCUCUGGCGACUCUGCUGGGGAUAGAACCCUGAAUCUCUGGUUCGGGGUUCAAGAAUUCGAGCUUAAAAUAAUUGUUGUAUUUGGCUUUAUUUGUUAUCUGAUUUUUACAUGUUGGCUUACUGUGCAAAAUGAUGUUUUUACCGCUUUGAUAUUAUCUGAUCUGUACAUAUAAACUGCCACGAUACCUUUCUCUUCUCACCUCCGAGGUGUACUUACUAGUUGAGACUCCCUAUUAUGAUAGUGUCAUACCCUGAAAUAUGAAAGAGGCCGGACAAUUUACUAAGCCGGAUGGCAUUUUGGUUUUUGGUACGUAGCCCCCUCCUCGACUCGAGUUGUCCACUCGGGUACUCUGUCUAAAACACAUACUCAGGUUUUUGAAUUUAGAAUAACUUGACCUCAUGCCUAAUCCAUAGUAGGAACACUUAUUUGCAUCAUGUAUUUGACUUAGGAGACUCAACACAAGACAGGGCCUGUCUAGGACAGGUGUACCCAAUUUAAAAGACCAUCAUGAUGCAUUUCAUAUGCCACAUGUGACAGGAUAGGGCCUGUAUAGGACAGGUGUACCCAAUUUAAAAGACCAUCAUGAUGCAUUUCAUAUGCCAAAUGUUGCAUUUUUUCAAGGGUGAAAGUUUUAUUUGGCGGACCAAUAAUAACUAAGGGUAAAUGAAAAAAUGAGAAAAAAAAGAAAGAAAAACAAUGAAAAGAAAAGAGGGUGAAGUGUGAAAAUAAAGCAAGUAGGGUCUAGUUAUGCUUUUGUUAUAUUUUUAUCAAAAAACGAGACAAAAGAUAUGUGAAAAACUCAAAAAAUAUAUUUACUAUUUUUCAUCAUUUCCUGAAAAUCGAAUAAAAAUAAAAAAAAUCCAAAAGAGUUUACAUAUUUCAUCAUUUUUCAAAAAAAAAAAAAAGACAAAAGAAAAUAUUUUCUUUAAAAAUUAGUUGUUUUUUUUAUUUCUUGCCUGUAUCCAAUUUGCCCGAACUACGCAAAUCUGAUUCUCGUCUUUCUGGAGUGAUACGUAGGCAACCCACAUAGGAUCGGAUCUUCUUAGUAAAUCUUAGGUUCUUGGCUAUGCAGGGUAAUAGCCAAAUUUUAUACUUCUAGCCACAUAGGUUAGUUUUAGAAUUCAGAAGUUGUUUGUUUGAAAAUUGUGUGAAUUGAGUUGUGUCAAUGGACUCUACUAUUGAAAUUCUUAGAGUUCAAGUUGGAAUUCUCUUGUCAAAAUUCUUUUAUGCUGACGAAAUUUCUGUUGAGAUCGGUCUUAAUUUGUUGGAGCAUUGUUUUGUGAUUUUAAUUCAAUCUAUGAAUCGUUGGUGGGGCCAUGUUUGAAAGAAAAUCAUGCAUUGUACACGGUUAUCUUUGUGCAAUAACUGCAAACCUCUGAAGCUUAUUUGUUAAAAAUUUUCCACUAUUUAUGGAAAAGUUUCUGGAAUAAAUUGAUAGCAGAAUUUCUCCUAACUUGAACCUUGUUACCAUUGGUUUCUAAUAGUUGUUGUUGUCAUUCAGUUUAAUAGAGGGGAUUCAGUUGGACUAGAGAUUGAGCAGUUUGCAUUGUGAUUUGGUUGAGCAUACGGUAAGCUUAAUCUGCCGAAAUUGUGUUCGUUGAGACUGUGCUCGAGUUUAGCUGUGAUAGCUUGAAAUCUAGUUUUUACUUCUAAAAUGUUCUUCUGGUUGAAUUAAGUGCUUUUGUUACAUAAACUAUUGUCUAGUUGGUUAAGUUGCAGGUUUGCUGGAAAAAAAUUUGCUGCUUGUAUUAUGUUGCUGUAAAGGAUUUCAUACUUGCUGUUCACAGCCCUACGUUGUUCAUUUUUCGCUCAACAAUGAAGAUUUUCACAUUUCUUUAAUUGAUUGUUGUUACUAUUGUUUUUCUUAAUAGUUGAGGGAAUUUUGCAAAAGUUUUAGCUUCGAUUAGCUCAACUGCUUGAAAGUAUAAACGUCAAAGGCAACUGCUUUUCUUCAGUUUAUAUGCCAACAAUACACUACUGAAUUGCAAGUUUUGAGCUAUUUUUGUUAAAGCAGAUCCUGCACUAUUCAGCUAUGCUUUGUGGUUAUUCUCACUCAAUAUUGCUGUGAUUCCAAUGCUUUGUUUCUACUAUUAAGGGCGUCAUAUUGAGAUGAAAAUUUCUACGCCUACUACUGCUGAAUUUAGUGCUCAAGGUGUUGCUGAAGUUCUGAGUUUUGAGAAGCAAUGGAAUAGCGAACCUGCCAGCUUGUUCAAACCAUAGAAUUCUGUAUUUAAAUGAAAUCCGUUAAUGUAACACAAGUUUCCUAAACAUUAUUUGUAUUUUUCUACAACAUUUUAUAAACCUCAAACUGGGUGUGGACACUAGAGCUUGUUUGAAAAAUUUUGAACUUAAAUAAGAGUGUUUUGG
This 4255-nucleotide long non-coding RNA is filed under the name Nicotiana benthamiana. RNAcentral describes it as "long non-coding RNA (NBEN_LNC036003)". The record is from RNAcentral. Lineage: Eukaryota; Viridiplantae; Streptophyta; Magnoliopsida; Solanales; Solanaceae.